CCGAGUUUACAACUCCCAAACCCCAUGUGAACCUUACCAUUCUGUUGCUUCGGCGGGAUCGUCCCGGGUGCGGCCGCGAGGUCAGCCCCGGAUCCAGGCGCCCGCCGGAGGACCACAAACUCUUCUGUUUUUUAACGGUUUUAUCUGAGUGGCUAUAAGCAAAAAAAUGAAUCA
RNAcentral lists this unclassified non-coding RNA (174 nucleotides) under uncultured Sepedonium. RNAcentral describes it as "sequence contains ITS1". The record is from RNAcentral. Lineage: Eukaryota; Fungi; Ascomycota; Sordariomycetes; Hypocreales; Hypocreaceae.